GAUGAACGCUGGCGGCGUGCCUAAUACAUGCAAGUCGAGCGAACGGACGAGAAGCUUGCCUUUCUGAUGUUAGCGGCGGACGGGUGAGUAACACGUGGAUAACCUACCUAUAAGACUGGGAUAACUUCGGGAAACCGGAGCUAAUACCGGAUAAUAUUUUGAACCGCAUGGUUCAAAAGUGAAAGACGGUCUUGCUGUCACUUAUAGAUGGAUCCGCGCUGCAUUAGCUAGUUGGUAAGGUAACGGCUUACCAAGGCAACGAUGCAUAGCCGACCUGAGAGGGUGAUCGGCCACACUGGAACUGAGACACGGUCCAGACUCCUACGGGAGGCAGCAGUAGGGAAUCUUCCGCAAAGGGCGAAAGCCUGACGGAGCAACGCCGCGUGAGUGAUGAAGGUCUUCGGAUCGUAAAACUCUGUUAUUAGGGAAGAACAUAUGUGUAAGUAACUGUGCACAUCUUGACGGUACCUAAUCAGAAAGCCACGGCUAACUACGUG
This 497-nucleotide ribosomal RNA is filed under the name uncultured bacterium. RNAcentral's name for it is "partial 16S ribosomal RNA". It matches the Rfam family "Bacterial small subunit ribosomal RNA", at positions 28 to 507 of the family's 1533-position model. The record is from RNAcentral.